This 890-nucleotide long non-coding RNA is filed under the name Cricetulus griseus (Chinese hamster). RNAcentral describes it as "lncRNA (ENSCGRG00000026258.1)". Lineage: Eukaryota; Metazoa; Chordata; Mammalia; Rodentia; Cricetidae. The record is from RNAcentral.
CUCUGCCUCUGCCUCCCAAACGCUGGGAUAAAAGGCUUAUGCCACCACACUAUAUUCCCUGACCCCUUUUAAAAAGGGAUGAGAAGGAGCAAAGCAAGGAAGGAAAGGAAGAUCAGUUCUGAUAUGAUAUUCCUAAGUGCUGAAUGGAGAAGCGCUCUGUGCAUACUGCCUGUAUAACAUGUGGAGCCCCUUUCCUUACUCCCUUCUUGCGUUCUUAAUUUCUAGUCUUAAGAUCCUUUCAGAAACUUAUUUUUAAUAUCAGGGUCCUUUCUCAGUGACAGCCAAGGUUUAGUGACACCUCAUCCCUGGGCCAUUUGGUCUAUGUUAAUUUUGAUUGUGCUACUUUGCUCAGCCCGUGGGUCUGUUCCUCAGGCCUGAAGGGGUGCUGUGCCUCUGGAAGGGGAGAGAUGUGUGGGGGCAGGAUGCUUACACACUGUUGAGUCAGGGCCCUGGCUCACCCGCCUGCUCACUCUCUUGCUCCCUCACAUUCUGUGUCCCUGUAGGCUGUUUUGGAAGACCAGAGUCAGAUGAGGCAGAUGGAGCUGGAGAUCAGACCCUUGUUCCUCGUACCAGAUACCAACGGCUUCAUUGACCACCUGGCCAGUCUAGCUCGGCUGCUGGAGAGCAGGAAGUACAUCCUGGUGGUGCCCCUCAUUGGUCUGACCCAAGCAUUGAGAAGUCCCGCCUGGUGCAGAAGCACAAACAAGCGUCCCCUUUGAAGCCUGUUUAGUUUGGAAGCAGGAAAGCAGAUUUGGGAUAGAAUACCAGUUUUUCCUGUUUGAUGUUCUGUUUGCUGUACCAUACCACCCAUCCACCACUGCCACACAUUGUGUGGACCUUACAGCUUCAUGGUGCUAAAAGCAUGGGUGGGUGUGUGUGUGUGUGUGUGU